MicroRNA precursor from Theobroma cacao (cacao), 97 nucleotides. It matches the Rfam family "mir-399 microRNA precursor family". From Rfam's summary of the family: mir-399 was identified in both Arabidopsis thaliana and Oryza sativa computationally and was later experimentally verified. mir-399 is thought to target mRNAs coding for a phosphatase transporter. The record is from Rfam. Lineage: Eukaryota; Viridiplantae; Streptophyta; Magnoliopsida; Malvales; Malvaceae.
GGAUGCAUUACAGGGCAAAUCUCCUUUGGAAGUCAGCUGAACUCGAGGCAUGGGAGAUAAGCUCACUGCCAAAGGAGAUUUGCCCCGCAAUUCAGCC